GACGAACGCUGGCGGCGUGCUUAACACAUGCAAGUCGAACGGAAAGGCCCUGCUUUUGUGGGGUGCUCGAGUGGCGAACGGGUGAGUAACACGUGAGUAACCUGCCCUUGACUUUGGGAUAACUUCAGGAAACUGGGGCUAAUACCGGAUAGGAGCUCCUGCUGCAUGGUGGGGGUGGGAAAGUUUCGGCGGUUGGGGAUGGACUCGCGGCUUAUCAGCUUGUUGGUGGGGUAGUGGCUUACCAAGGCUUUGACGGGUAGCCGGCCUGAGAGGGUGACCGGCAACAGUGGGACUGAGAUACGGCCCAGACUACUACGGGAGGCAGCAGUGGGGAAGAUUGCACAAUGGGCGGAAGCCUGAUGAAGCAACGCCGCGUGCGGGAUGACGGCCUUCUGGUUGUAAACCGCUUUCGCCUGUGACGAAGCGUGAGUGACGGUAAUGGGUAAAGAAGCACCGGCUAACUACGUG
This 468-nucleotide ribosomal RNA is filed under the name uncultured bacterium. RNAcentral describes it as "partial 16S ribosomal RNA". It matches the Rfam family "Bacterial small subunit ribosomal RNA", at positions 28 to 507 of the family's 1533-position model. The record is from RNAcentral.